Molecule: ribosomal RNA, 426 nt
Filed under: uncultured bacterium
Lineage: Bacteria
Description: bacterial SSU rRNA
Rfam family: Bacterial small subunit ribosomal RNA
Source: RNAcentral
AUUGAACGCUGGCGGCGUGCUUAACACAUGCAAGUCGAUCGGUAACGCGGGGGCAACCCUGGCGACGAGAGGCGGACGGGUGAGGAACGCUUGGGAAUCUGCCCAUCAGCGGGGGACAACCCGGGGAAACCCGGGCUAAUACCGCAUACGCUCUAUGGAGGAAAGCCGGGGACCGCAAGGCCUGGCACUGAUGGAUGAGCCCAAGUCGGAUUAGCUAGUUGGCGGGGUAACAGCCCACCAAGGCGACGAUCCGUAGCUGGUCUGAGAGGACGAUCAGCCACACUGGGACUGAGACACGGCCCAGACUCCUACGGGAGGCAGCAGUGGGGAAUAUUGGACAAUGGGGGAAACCCUGAUCCAGCGACGCCGCGUGGGUGAAGAAGGCCUGCGGGUUGUAAAGCCCUUUCGGUAGGGACGAAAGCCUCC